Molecule: long non-coding RNA, 597 nt
Organism: Neofelis nebulosa (Clouded leopard)
Lineage: Eukaryota; Metazoa; Chordata; Mammalia; Carnivora; Felidae
Exons: 3
Source: RefSeq, a predicted model, not a curated record
CAGCAAGUCCCAGCCCAUCCUUCGCAACUUCGGAAAGAGCUCUUUUGGAGGUGAUGUGAGCAGCGCUGACCGAAGGGAGUUAAGAGGAAUCUAAAAAUGGGCUACGUUUCAAGUCUCCACUGAAAUUUCCAGCCAGUAUCUAGCAUCACAAAACUUGAAGCAGCCUGGAUUGCAGUGCUUGUGGGAAGAAUAAUCCUAGGACCACCUAGUUUAACAGGGGAUCGUCAGUGAAAGCUUGGUACUGAACUGCUACUUAUAGAGCACACCCAUUUAAGAGGACACUAGAGACAAGGGACAACGCUCAACAGGACACAUAACUCAGAAUCUCAGAAGUCAGAAGCCUGCAGAAUCAUAAACACAGGAGCUAAAGACUAACUGGCCAACCAUUUGGACCUUCUUGUCUGAGAAGACCCUUGUGGCAGCUGCAACACAACUGAGGGCCUCCAAAUCCUCCAAAGAAGCUCAAUUUACUCAAGGUAAGGCUACCAUUGGGGAUGCUACAGAAAACCAGGCAAACCAUAGUUAAAGUGGUAAAAACAAAUUUCAGUAAGAAACUAUUACAAUUGGGGAAAGGAGAUGUCAAUAUAGAAAUAUGCU